RNAcentral lists this ribosomal RNA (254 nucleotides) under uncultured bacterium. RNAcentral's name for it is "partial 16S ribosomal RNA". It matches the Rfam family "Bacterial small subunit ribosomal RNA", at positions 524 to 776 of the family's 1533-position model. The record is from RNAcentral.
UACGGGGGAUGCAAGCGUUAUCCGGAUUUACUGGGUUUAAAGGGUGCGUAGGCUGUGAGGUAAGUCAGCGGUGAAAUGCCCCCGCUCAACGGGGUGAAGUGCCAUUGAUACUGCCUUGCUGGAAUGCGGAUGCCGUGGGAGGAAUGUGUGGUGUAGCGGUGAAAUGCAUAGAUAUCACACAGAACACCGAUUGCGAAGGCAUCUCACGAAUCCGCUAUUGACGCUGAUGCACGAAAGCGUGGGUAUCAAACAGG